Long non-coding RNA from Pipistrellus kuhlii (Kuhl's pipistrelle), 781 nucleotides. RefSeq lists it as uncharacterized. The transcript is spliced from 3 exons. Lineage: Eukaryota; Metazoa; Chordata; Mammalia; Chiroptera; Vespertilionidae. The record is from RefSeq and is a predicted model, not a curated record.
CACGGACUAAAAGCAUAAUGGAAUCAGGUGGUUAUUGCUAAGCCUGAUUGACCCUCUGGAAAAAAAUAGGAGAAAGCUGAGAGUAAUUAAUUUCUAAUUGAAAGCUCCGAGGGCGGGGAAGGCCCAGGGCGUCUCUAGCAGCACGCAAAGAGGUUCUCUGCUCCAGCAGCCGAGGGAGGACCAGACGCUGGACUUAAAGUUGCUCCCAGGAAGGUUAACUGUCCAGCAAAAGGCCGCUAAGCCGAGAUUCCAAAUGAAUUAGCUGGGACUAUUCCAGUGUAAUAUAUACAAUGACAGAGAGGAUGCAACGUAUGCAGGUUUUUGUAUACAAAACUGAGCACCAUUCCCAGCUCAGCAUCAGCACCAGUGUCUGCAUUUCAGUAAAUGAGGUUAGUUCUUACCCAGCUACAUCCCCCCCUGAGCGCCCUGCCCUCUCCAUUUGGGUUGCCACUGUAUCCAUUUCCUAGAAUGGCUUCUGAUGAAGGUUCAUAGUAAAUAUUCGUGAGUGAAUGAACUUCUUAACAGCUUGAAAGUUCUCUAAAAGUUAAACAUUUUAUCACAUGUAAAAUGAUCCCAACAGUUUAUUAUCCAAAAAUGCCAGACCAAACUAAGGUAAAACUCAAACAAAUUACAUUUAUUUUUCCUUUACAUACAUAUUGCACAGCCUGAACAUCACAUUGCCUUCAGAGAAAAGUGCUUUUAUGCCUUUAUAUUUUACUAUUUACCGCACAGGCAUUAAGCAUUCUUAUUAAAAUGAUGAGACAAUUUGCCGGUAAACAUU